Molecule: ribosomal RNA, 312 nt
Filed under: Triticum aestivum (bread wheat)
Lineage: Eukaryota; Viridiplantae; Streptophyta; Magnoliopsida; Poales; Poaceae
Description: partial small subunit ribosomal RNA
Source: RNAcentral
AUGCUGCGUGGCUCCUUCUGGCGGCUCCUGGCCGUGGCCGUGGCCGUGUCGGCGGCGGCGCGGGCGGUGGCCGCCCUGAAGGCCGGUCGGAGCCUGCACCGGGACUUCGACGACGGCCAGGUGGUGGAGCUGGCGCUGGACCGGGAGACGGGGUCCAGGCUGGAGUCCAAGGACCGCUACCUCUUUGGGCGGUUCGAUCUUGACAUUAGGCUCGUCGCCGGCGACUCCACCGGGACCAUCACUUCCUUCUACGCAAGUGUACAUGGAUCUCUCUGGUCGACUGCAGUUUCGUUCUCGUUUCCGCCUGCCUAA